GGGCGACGCAACGGAAUUGCGCGUUCCUAUGGAAACCAGAGGCGGGCUGGUAGCGGUGGAACGCACAGGAACUAAUCAAAUAUGUCCUGUGAAGCUGUGUGGAUCAAGGACAUCUCUCCACUUUUUCAGAAAAUAAAGGACAGUGAUGAAUUACAUGGAAGAUAAUUUGACAGUCUUUUUCUGCUAAAGGUCCCAAGAUAUUCCUCAAGAGUCUCCUGGCCACACUGCCAAACACAUCAUGUGCCUGUGCCUCAGAACCUCAGCUUUCACCUUACCUGGUUUUGAUAAUAUUCAACUUGAAAAGCGGGUUGCUGUUGGUGAUUUCCCAGGUUUCAUUAAUAUCUUCAAUAAUCUACAAUAUCUCAAUUAGUGGGGAGUAACAUGUGAAGCACUGGUCAAUUAUCUAAACACUGUCUCUGAAUUUGAACCUACAUAACUGUUUUUAGAUUCCUUUACCUAGUCGUUACCCUUCCCAAUUGUUCAGUUGAUAUUAUUCACUUAUUAAGACAAAUAUUGGCAACUGUAGGGGUAAAAUCUUGUUAUCAUGUGUAGGCUUUAAUGCUGAUUUGAAAGUUACAGUCAUUUUUAGGGCAUCUACUCAACACUUUUUCUUCUUGUAAUGUAAUGAUUUUUGACACUUUUCUUUGACAGACAGCCCAGAAUAUUUUCAGUUUAUCUAAUCUAUGUCUAAUAAAAAUCUACUUAUGCCUCUGUGGGUGGACACAGCCAAAGCAUGAAAUAGUGCUGAGCAUCAGCACUGCUUCUUCUGUUAAUAAAGUUUCUGGAGAAAAACUUGACUCAAACAGCAGGGGCUGAGUUCUUUUUCCUGUCUGUUUUGCAAUCUACUAAGCCAUUUUUAUUGCUACACUUUAAAUUUAGCCAAAAGGUUAAACAUUUAUUUAUCUCAACAUGUAUUAUAAGCAGUUUUUUUCACUGUGGGGCAUUCUACAUGAUUAUUAUUAAAUUUAAACUUUCUCAA
This is a non-coding RNA of Macaca mulatta (Rhesus monkey), 979 nucleotides long. The record is from RefSeq and is a predicted model, not a curated record. NCBI's taxonomy places the organism in Eukaryota, Metazoa, Chordata, Mammalia, Primates, Cercopithecidae.